RNAcentral lists this ribosomal RNA (275 nucleotides) under uncultured bacterium. RNAcentral's name for it is "partial 16S ribosomal RNA". It matches the Rfam family "Archaeal small subunit ribosomal RNA", at positions 473 to 747 of the family's 1478-position model. The record is from RNAcentral.
AUACCGGCGGCCCGAGUGGCGGCCACUAUUAUUGGGCCUAAAGCGUCCGUAGCCGGGCUGGUAAGUCCCCCGGGAAAUCUGGCGGCUUAACCGUCAGACUGCCGGGGGAUACUGCCAGCCUAGGGACCGGGAGAGGCCGGGGGUAUUCCCGGGGUAGGGGUGAAAUCCUGUAAUCCCGGGAGGACCACCUGUGGCGAAGGCGCCCGGCUGGAACGGGCCCGACGGUGAGGGACGAAGGCCAGGGGAGCGAACCGGAUUAGAUACCCCAGUAGUCC